Molecule: ribosomal RNA, 497 nt
Filed under: uncultured bacterium
Lineage: Bacteria
Description: partial 16S ribosomal RNA
Rfam family: Bacterial small subunit ribosomal RNA
Source: RNAcentral
GACGAACGCUGGCGGCGUGCCUAAUACAUGCAAGUAGAACGCUGAAGCGAGGAGCUUGCUCUUCUUGGAUGAGUUGCGAACGGGUGAGUAACGCGUAGGUAACCUGCCUUGUAGCGGGGGAUAACUAUUGGAAGCGAUAGCUAAUACCGCAUAACAAUGGAUGACACAUGUCAUUUAUUUGAAAGGGGCAAUUGCUCCACUACAAGAUGGACCUGCGUUGUAUUAGCUAGUAGGUGAGGUAAUGGCUCACCUAGGCGACGAUACAUAGCCGACCUGAGAGGGUGAUCGGCCACACUGGGACUGAGACACGGCCCAGACUCCUACGGGAGGCAGCAGUAGGGAAUCUUCGGCAAUGGGGGCAACCCUGACCGAGCAACGCCGCGUGAGUGAAGAAGGUUUUCGGAUCGUAAAGCUCUGUUGUAAGUCAAGAACGGGUGUGAGAGUGGAAAGUUCACACUGUGACGGUAGCUUACCAGAAAGGGACGGCUAACUACGUG